Molecule: ribosomal RNA, 406 nt
Filed under: uncultured bacterium
Lineage: Bacteria
Description: bacterial SSU rRNA
Rfam family: Bacterial small subunit ribosomal RNA
Source: RNAcentral
UGGGGAAUUUUCCGCAAUGGGCGAAAGCCUGACGGAGCAAGACCGCGUGGGGGAGGAAGGCUCUAGGGUUGUAAACCCCUUUUCUUUGGGAAGAAGAUCUGACGGUACCAAAGGAAUCAGCCUCGGCUAACUCCGUGCCAGCAGCCGCGGUAAUACGGAGGAGGCAAGCGUUAUCCGGAAUGAUUGGGCGUAAAGCGUCCGUAGAUGGCCAUGUAAGUCUGCUGUCAAAACCCAGGGCUCAACUCUGGUCAGGCAGUGGAAACUACAAAGCUAGAGUUUGGUAGGGGCAAAGGGAAUUCCCGGUGUAGCGGUGAAAUGCGUAGAUAUCGGGAAGAACAUCGGUGGCGAAAGCGCUUUGCUAGACCAAAACUGACAUUGAGGGACGAAAGCUAGGGGAGCGAAUGGG